CCUACGGGAGGCAGCAGUGGGGAAUAUUGGGCAAUGGAGGCAACUCUGACCCAGCAACGCCGCGUGAGUGAUGAAGGUCUUCGGAUUGUAAAACUCUUUAAGUGGGGACGAAGAAAGUGACUGUACCCACAGAAUAAGCCUCGGCUAACUACGUGCCAGCAGCCGCGGUAAUACGUAGGAGGCAAGCGUUAUCCGGAAUGACUGGGCGUAAAGGGUGCGUAGGUGGUUUGACAAGUUAGUAGCGUAAUUCCGGGGCUCAACUUCGGAACUACUACUAAAACUGUUGGGCUUGAGUGCAGGAGAGGUGAAUGGAAUUCCUAGUGUAGCGGUGGAAUGCGUAGAUAUUAGGAGGAACACCAGCGGCGAAAGCGAUUCACUGGACUGUAACUGACACUGAGGC
This 400-nucleotide ribosomal RNA is filed under the name uncultured bacterium. RNAcentral describes it as "bacterial SSU rRNA". It matches the Rfam family "Bacterial small subunit ribosomal RNA", at positions 338 to 752 of the family's 1533-position model. The record is from RNAcentral.